RNAcentral lists this ribosomal RNA (601 nucleotides) under Stictocladius pictus. Its description in RNAcentral is "eukaryotic LSU rRNA". It matches the Rfam family "Eukaryotic large subunit ribosomal RNA", at positions 429 to 900 of the family's 3401-position model. The record is from RNAcentral. Lineage: Eukaryota; Metazoa; Arthropoda; Insecta; Diptera; Chironomidae.
CGCAAAUAUCUAAACGGAGAAAUUCAAUAUUGCCCUUAACAGGCAAUGUGCACUUUUUUCUUAGUAAGACGCUGUGAUCCAUUAGAAAUUGGACCAUUCCAAUGGUUAUUGGGCUAUCAAUAGGCCAACAUGAAGUUCAAUGGUGCAAAUGGUAUGAUCUUUUAUGGUUGCACGUAUUGCCCGUUGAGCAUGUUGGUACCUGUAAUAGCUGUCUGAUGGAUUUUAAAGGUCAUAUUACUAAUGCUAUAUGCAUUACCCAUUUCGAUGGGAGCUGAUAUGUGCCCGAUCAACAGCGGUUAAAUUUGUGAUACCUUUGGGACCCGUCUUGAAACACGGACCAAGGAGUCUAUCUAGUAUGCAAGUAAAUGAGCAUAUUAAACUUAUUUGCGUAAAAAACUUGACUUUUAUGGGAUUACGAGUUUACAUUUAACUGUGAGCUCCUCCAUCCCGGGGUAUUUUUGUCAACAUAUGCAGCAAUGUGUAUGGAAAAUAUACCAUGAGCAUACUGGAUGCGACCCGAAAGAUGGUGAACUAUGCCUGUUCAGGUUGAAGUCAGGGGAAACCCUGAUGGAGGACCGAAGCAAUUCUGACGUGCAAAUCG